This is a long non-coding RNA of Triplophysa dalaica, 247 nucleotides long. RefSeq lists it as uncharacterized. NCBI's taxonomy places the organism in Eukaryota, Metazoa, Chordata, Actinopteri, Cypriniformes, Nemacheilidae. The record is from RefSeq and is a predicted model, not a curated record. The transcript has 3 exons.
GAUUUUUCAAGUCAGAUGCAGCAUCUUCCGCAGCACAUCAACGGUUUGUUCGCGCCAUCGGAUCUGAAUUUCAGGGACUGAUUAACACGAUACCCAAGUGCUUUUGUUACCUGGGGUCUUCAAGCUUCAUAUCCAGAUCUGUGAAGAGUUCCUGAGAAUGGCAAAACUCCAAAGCUGUUGUCAGUUUUCCACACAAAAUAAGCCGUCAGUCAAAGAAUCAAGUCCCAAAUGAUGACAAUCAUCCAGA